UAGCUUUGGCAGCACAUAUACUAAAAUUGGAACAAUACAGAGAAUAUUAGAAUGGCCCCUGUGCAAGGAUGACUUGCAAAUUCGUGAAGCGGUCCAUUAAAAA
This is a small nuclear RNA of Notechis scutatus (mainland tiger snake), 103 nucleotides long. Lineage: Eukaryota; Metazoa; Chordata; Lepidosauria; Squamata; Elapidae. The record is from Ensembl.